GGUUCCGUGGCCGAGUGGCUAGGCAGAGGUCUGCAAAACCUUUUACGGCGGUUCGAAUCCGUUCGGAACCUCAA
This 74-nucleotide transfer RNA is filed under the name Flammeovirgaceae bacterium TMED32. Its description in RNAcentral is "tRNA-Cys". It matches the Rfam family "tRNA". From Rfam's summary of the family: Transfer RNA (tRNA) molecules are approximately 80 nucleotides in length. Their secondary structure includes four short double-helical elements and three loops (D, anti-codon, and T loops). The record is from RNAcentral. RNAcentral also lists the same sequence under 1 other name. Lineage: Bacteria; Pseudomonadati; Bacteroidota; Cytophagia; Cytophagales; Flammeovirgaceae.